GACGAACGCUGGCGGCGUGCUUUACACAUGCAAGUCGAACGGAAAGGCCCUGCUUUUGUGGGGUGCUCGAGUGGCGAACGGGUGAGUAACACGUGAGUAACCUGCCCUUGACUUUGGGAUAACUUCAGGAAACUGGGGCUAAUACCGGAUAGGAGCUCCUGCUGCAUGGUGGGGGUUGGAAAGUUUCGGCUGUUGGGGAUGGACUCGCGGCUUAUCAGCUUGUUGGUGGGGUAGUGGCUUACCAAGGCUUUGACGGGUAGCCGGCCUGAGAGGGUGACCGGCCACAUUGGGACUGAGAUACGGCCCAGACUCCUACGGGAGGCAGCAGUGGGGAAUAUUGCACAAUGGGCGGAAGCCUGAUGCAGCAACGCCGCGUGCGGGAUGACGGCCUUCGGGUUGUAAACCGCUUUCGCCUGUGACGAAGCGUGAGUGACGGUAAUGGGUAAAGAAGCACCGGCUAACUACGUG
This 468-nucleotide ribosomal RNA is filed under the name uncultured bacterium. RNAcentral describes it as "partial 16S ribosomal RNA". It matches the Rfam family "Bacterial small subunit ribosomal RNA", at positions 28 to 507 of the family's 1533-position model. The record is from RNAcentral.